UACGUAGGGGGCUAGCGUUGUCCGGAUUUAUUGGGCGUAAAGAGCGUGUAGGCGGCCAGGUAGGUCUGCUGUGAAAACUCGAGGCUCAACCUCGAGACGUCGGCGGAAACCAUAUGGCUAGAGUCCGGAAGAGGAGAGUGGAAUUCCUGGUGUAGCGGUGAAAUGCGCAGAUAUCAGGAAGAACACCCGUGGCGAAGGCGGCUCUCUAGUACGGUACUGACGCUGAGACGCGAAAGCGUGGGGAGCGAACAGG
This 253-nucleotide ribosomal RNA is filed under the name uncultured bacterium. RNAcentral's name for it is "partial 16S ribosomal RNA". It matches the Rfam family "Bacterial small subunit ribosomal RNA", at positions 524 to 776 of the family's 1533-position model. The record is from RNAcentral.